RNAcentral lists this ribosomal RNA (253 nucleotides) under uncultured bacterium. Its description in RNAcentral is "partial 16S ribosomal RNA". It matches the Rfam family "Bacterial small subunit ribosomal RNA", at positions 524 to 776 of the family's 1533-position model. The record is from RNAcentral.
UACAGAGGUCUCAAGCGUUGUUCGGAUUCAUUGGGCGUAAAGGGUGCGUAGGCGGCGCGGUAAGUCGGGUGUGAAAUCUCGGAGCUUAACUCCGAAACUGCAUUCGAUACUGCCGUGCUUGAGGACUGGAGAGGAGACUGGAAUUUACGGUGUAGCGGUGAAAUGCGUAGGUAUCGUAAGGAAGACCAGUGGCGAAGGCGACUACCUGGCCUGUUCUUGACGCUGAGGCGCGAAAGCUAGGGGAGCAAACGGG